RNAcentral lists this ribosomal RNA (373 nucleotides) under uncultured organism. Its description in RNAcentral is "partial 16S ribosomal RNA". It matches the Rfam family "Bacterial small subunit ribosomal RNA", at positions 527 to 896 of the family's 1533-position model. The record is from RNAcentral.
GUAGGUGGCAAGCGUUGUCCGGAAUUAUUGGGCGUAAAGCGCGCGCAGGCGGUUCUUUAAGUCUGAUGUGAAAGCCCACGGCUCAACCGUGGAGGGUCAUUGGAAACUGGAGAACUUGAGUACAGAAGAGGAAAGCGGAAUUCCACGUGUAGCGGUGAAAUGCGUAGAGGUGUGGAGGAACACCAGUGGCGAAGGCGGCUUUCUGGUCUGUAACUGACGCUGAGGCGCGAAAGCGUGGGGAGCAAACAGGGAUUAGAUACCCUGGUAGUCCACGCCGUAAACGAUGAGUGCUAAGUGUUAGGGGGUUUCCCGCCCCUUAGUGCUGCAGCUAACGCAUUAAGCACUCCGCCUGGGGAGUACGGCCGCAAGGCUG